UACGUAGGUGGCAAGCGUUGUCCGGAUUUACUGGGCGUAAAGAGCGCGCAGGCGGUCGAUUUAGUCGUGUGUGAAAGCCCCCGGCUCAACUGGGGAGGGUCACGCGAUACUGAUCGACUCGAAGGCAGGAGGGGGUAGUGGAAUUCCCGGUGUAGUGGUGAAAUGCGUAGAUAUCGGGAGGAACACCAGUGGCGAAGGCGACUUCCUGGCCUGUUCUUGACGCUGAGGCGCGAAAGCUAGGGUAGCAACCGGG
Molecule: ribosomal RNA, 253 nt
Filed under: uncultured bacterium
Lineage: Bacteria
Description: partial 16S ribosomal RNA
Rfam family: Bacterial small subunit ribosomal RNA
Source: RNAcentral